Molecule: ribosomal RNA, 1052 nt
Filed under: Listeria monocytogenes
Lineage: Bacteria; Bacillati; Bacillota; Bacilli; Caryophanales; Listeriaceae
Description: partial 23S ribosomal RNA
Rfam family: Bacterial large subunit ribosomal RNA
Source: RNAcentral
GGUCUCUGCAAAACCGUAAGGUGACGUAUAGGGGCUGACGCCUGCCCGGUGCUGGAAGGUUAAGAGGAGUGCUUAGCUUCGGCGAAGGUACGAAUUGAAGCCCCAGUAAACGGCGGCCGUAACUAUAACGGUCCUAAGGUAGCGAAAUUCCUUGUCGGGUAAGUUCCGACCUGCACGAAUGGCGUAAUGAUGGCCAGGCUGUCUCCACCCGAGACUCAGUGAAAUUGAACUCGCUGUGAAGAUGCAGUGUACCCGCGGCAAGACGGAAAGACCCCGUGAACCUUUACUAUAGCUUGACACUGAACAUUGAGCCUUGAUGUGUAGGAUAGGUGGGAGGCUUUGAAGUGUGGACGCCAGUCUGCAUGGAGCCGACCUUGAAAUACCACCCUUUAAUGUUUGAUGUUCUAACGUUGACCCGUAAUCCGGGUUGCGGACAGUGUCUGGUGGGUAGUUUGACUGGGGCGGUCUCCUCCUAAAGAGUAACGGAGGAGCACGAAGGUUGGCUAAUCCUGGUCGGACAUCAGGAGGUUAGUGCAAUGGCAUAAGCCAGCUUGACUGCGAGCGUGACGGCGCGAGCAGGUGCGAAAGCAGGUCAUAGUGAUCCGGUGGUUCUGAAUGGAAGGGCCAUCGCUCAACGGAUAAAAGGUACUCCGGGGAUAACAGGCUGAUACCGCCCAAGAGUUCAUAUCGACGGCGGUGUUUGGCACCUCGAUGUCGGCUCAUCACAUCCUGGGGCUGAAGUAGGUCCCAAGGGUAUGGCUGUUCGCCAUUUAAAGUGGUACGCGAGCUGGGUUUAGAACGUCGUGAGACAGUUCGGUCCCUAUCUGCCGUGGGCGCUGGAGAACUGAGGGGGGCUGCUCCUAGUACGAGAGGACCGGAGUGGACGCAUCACUGGUGUUCGGGUUGUCAUGCCAAUGGCACUGCCCGGUAGCUAAAUGCGGAAGAGAUAAGUGCUGAAAGCAUCUAAGCACGAAACUUGCCCCGAGAUGAGUUCUCCCUGACCCUUUAAGGGUCCUGAAGGAACGUUGAAGACGACGACGUUGAUAGGCCGG